This 755-nucleotide ribosomal RNA is filed under the name uncultured archaeon. RNAcentral's name for it is "bacterial SSU rRNA". It matches the Rfam family "Archaeal small subunit ribosomal RNA", at positions 102 to 859 of the family's 1478-position model. The record is from RNAcentral.
GGAGAACGUGCCCUUAAGUGGAGGAUAAUCUCGGGAAAUUGAGGAUAAUACUCCAUAGAUCAUGGGAUCUGGAAUGACCCAUGGUUGAAAGUUCCGGCGCUUAAGGAUCGCUCUGCGGCUUAUCAGGUUGUAGUGGGUGUAACGUACCCCCUAGCCAGUGACGAGUAUGGGCCUUGAGAGAGGGAGCCCAGAGUUGGAUUCUGAGACACGAAUCCAGGCCCUACGGGGCGCAGCAGUCGCGAAAACUUCACACUGGGGGCAACCCCGAUGAGGGAAUUCCUAGUGCUAGGACAUUUGUUCUAGCUUUUCUCUAGCGUAGAUAACUAGAGGAAUAAGGGCUGGGUAAGACGGGUGCCAGCCGCCGCGGUAAUACCUGCAGCCCAAGUGGUGGUCGAUUUUAUUGAGUCUAAAGCGUUCGUAGCCGGUUUGAUAAAUCCUUGGGUAAAUCGGGAAGCUUAACUUUCCGACUUCCGAGGAGACUGUCAAACUUGGGACCGGGAGAGGCUAGAGGUACUUCUGGGGUAGGGGUAAAAUCCUGUAAUCCUAGAAGGACCACCGGUGGCGAAGGCGUCUAGCUAGAACGGAUCCGACGGUGAGGGACGAAGCCCUGGGUCGCAAACGGGAUUAGAUACCCCGGUAGUCCAGGGUGUAAACGCUGCCGACUUGGUGUUGGAGGCCCUUCGGGGGCAUUCAGUGCCGGAGAGAAGUUGUUAAGUCGGCCACUUGGGGAGUACGUCCGCAAGGAUGAAACUUAA